This 373-nucleotide ribosomal RNA is filed under the name uncultured organism. RNAcentral's name for it is "bacterial SSU rRNA". It matches the Rfam family "Bacterial small subunit ribosomal RNA", at positions 526 to 896 of the family's 1533-position model. The record is from RNAcentral.
CGUAGGGUGCGAGCGUUGUCCGGAAUUAUUGGGCGUAAAGGGCUCGUAGGCGGUUUGUCACGUCGGGAGUGAAAACUCAGGGCUCAACCCUGAGCCUGCUUCCGAUACGGGCAGACUAGAGGUAUGCAGGGGAGAACGGAAUUCCUGGUGUAGCGGUGAAAUGCGCAGAUAUCAGGAGGAACACCAGUGGCGAAGGCGGUUCUCUGGGCAUUACCUGACGCUGAGGAGCGAAAGUGUGGGGAGCGAACAGGAUUAGAUACCCUGGUAGUCCACACCGUAAACGUUGGGCGCUAGGUGUGGGACUCAUUCCACGAGUUCCGUGCCGCAGCUAACGCAUUAAGCGCCCCGCCUGGGGAGUACGGCCGCAAGGCUA